RNAcentral lists this ribosomal RNA (444 nucleotides) under uncultured bacterium. Its description in RNAcentral is "partial 16S ribosomal RNA". It matches the Rfam family "Bacterial small subunit ribosomal RNA", at positions 354 to 796 of the family's 1533-position model. The record is from RNAcentral.
GUGAGGAAUAUUGCGCAAUGGAGGCAACUCUGACGCAGCCAUGCCGCGUGCAGGAAGAAGGCGCUACGCGUUGUAAACUGCUUUUAACCGGGAAGAAACCCCAGGACGUGUCCUGGGUUGACGGUACCGGAGGAAUAAGCACCGGCUAACUUCGUGCCAGCAGCCGCGGUAAUACGAAGGGUGCAAGCGUUAUCCGGAUUCAUUGGGUUUAAAGGGUGCGUAGGCGGAGCGUUAAGUCAGUGGUGAAAUCCUGCAGCUUAACUGUAGAGUUGCCAUUGAUACUGGCGCUCUUGAGUGCGCUUGAAGUGGGCGGAAUGUGCCGUGUAGCGGUGAAAUGCUUAGAUAUGGCACAGAACACCAAUUGCGAAGGCAGCUCACUAAGGCGAUACUGACGCUGAGGCACGAAAGCGUGGGGAUCGAACAGGAUUAGAAACCCGUGAGUCC